ACUCUGGCAAGGAAGGGCUUGGAAGUGGCCUGCCGAAACAAGAAAACCUUUCCAGAUAUAAGUGCACCACAAUGACUGCACCAUUAUUUAUCACUGCAACUAUUCAGUGACAGUAUAAUCUGAGUGGAUCAAGGAAGCAACUGUUUCAGGCAAAGAACAAAUUAUCCAGCGAGGAAAGUUUCUUUUGCCAAGUGAAGAACAGUAUCUUUCAAAGAAUGGAACACUUGGGCCUAGUCUACACUACAGAGUUAGGUCAAUGCAAGGCGGCUUACGUCAACCUAAUUAUGUCAGUGACUACACUACAAUGUUCCUCCCACCGAUGUAACUCACCUGCGAAGUCAACUUAACUUGACCUCUGCAAGAGGCAUAACACUUAAGUCAAUAUAGGUUGAUGCAGUGGCAGUAUAGACACGACGUUACUUAUGUCUACUUUAGUGGCCUCUGGGAGGUGUCCCACAAUGCCCUGCCAUGACUGCUCUGGUCACUGUUUUGAACUCUGCUGCACGGUGGCCAAGUACACAGGAAUACACCCCACCCCUUUUUGAAAUUCCACUUCCUGUUUGCUCGGCGUGGAGAGUUCACCUAGCCACUGCCCAGCUAAGCAUGCUGGCUACACAUUCCAAACGCACUCCUGCCUGAAGUGCACAGGAGGUGGUGGAUCUCCUGGUUCUGUGGGGAGAAGAGGCGGUACAGGCAAAACUCCAAUCCAGCCAUAGAAAUAUGGACAUCUAUGAGCAGAUCACUUGAGGCAUGAAGGAGAAGGGCUACAAGAGGGACCUGAAAGUGAAGGAGCUACAGCAGGCAUACCAGGAGGCAAACAGUCGCUCCUGGUGUGACGAUGCAGAUAUGCUACUUUUACAAGGAGCUGCUUACAAGAGGUAGUGAAAUAACUAGUGGAGGUAGACUGGCUAUCUGCUUCUCAUUGCCCAACACAGUUAGGUAGAGUAGGCCCUGCAAAACAUACGUGCACUGGGAUGUCCUGUGAAUCCUCCAUAGAGAUCUCAAGGAAACUUUCCUGUAUGUACUCUGCAAUCUGUUGCUGAAGGUUUUUGGGGAGGGCUGCCUUAUUUCUUCUGUCACAGUAGGACACUUUCCCAUGCCACUCAGCAAUU
This is a long non-coding RNA of Mauremys reevesii (Reeves's turtle), 1112 nucleotides long. RefSeq lists it as uncharacterized. The record is from RefSeq and is a predicted model, not a curated record. NCBI's taxonomy places the organism in Eukaryota, Metazoa, Chordata, Testudines, Geoemydidae. The transcript is spliced from 3 exons.